GCAUGACUUAGCUUGCUAAGUUUGAUGGCGACCGGCGCACGGGUGAGUAACACGUAUCCCCAUUUACGAUGACUCGGGGAUAGCCUUUCGAAAGAAAGAUUCCUUCCCGAUGGCAUAGUUCUUCCGCAUGGUAGAACUAUUAAAGAAUUUCGGUCAUCGAUGGGGAUGCGUUCCAUUAGGUUGUUGGCGGGGUAACGGCCCACCAAGCCUUCGAUGGAUAGGGGUUCUGAGAGGAAGGUCCCCCACAUUGGAACUGAGACACGGUCCAAACUCCUACGGGAGGCAGCAGUGAGGAAUAUUGGUCAAUGGACGAGAGUCUGAACCAGCCAAGUAGCGUGAAGGAUGACUGCCCUAUGGGUUGUAAACUUCUUUUAUACGGGAAUAAAGUGAGGCACGUGUGCCUUUUUGUAUGUACCGUAUGAAUAAGGAUCGGCUAACUCCGUGCCAGCAGCCGCGGUAAUACGGAGGAUCCGAGCGUUAUCCGGAUUUAUUGGGUUUAAAGGGAGCGUAGGCGGACGCUUAAGUCAGUUGUGAAAGUUUGCGGCUCAACCGUAAAAUUGCAGUUGAUACUGGGUGUCUUGAGUACAGUAGAGGCAGGCGGAAUUCGUGGUGUAGCGGUGAAAUGCUUAGAUAUCACGAAGAACUCCGAUUG
Molecule: ribosomal RNA, 652 nt
Filed under: uncultured Bacteroides sp.
Lineage: Bacteria; Pseudomonadati; Bacteroidota; Bacteroidia; Bacteroidales; Bacteroidaceae
Description: bacterial SSU rRNA
Rfam family: Bacterial small subunit ribosomal RNA
Source: RNAcentral